CAGUGGCAGUAUAGAUGGAGCUCUGGCAAACGAGUGCCAAGUAUAUUCACAUGAUGCCUGCCCUCUUCACCCUUAUCUUCUCUGUCCCUAUCCAGAUGGAACCUGCUGAAUGCACAUCCUAGUCAGGGAACUUCUUUCUCAUUGUCCCAAGAAGCAUCUGAGCCUUGGAAGCAGCUGUGGCUGACAAGUGAGGCAGAAGCAUCUGCCAAUAGAUGAGGGACGCCAGGAGGCAGGCUGAGGAAUCGCACAGAGAAAGAGAAGGGAAGAAGUCAGAAAACAUGAUCCCAUCACCGUCAGCACCUUAUUGAUGGAGAUUACUCCCCUCAAACUAAAAGCACACACACCUGGUUCAAUUUAUGAACUCGGGAUUAUACUACUUCUUGUUCUGACACCUGUUUUGUUUUGUUUUGUUUUUUUUCCUGUGUGG
Meriones unguiculatus (Mongolian gerbil) is the source of this 427-nucleotide long non-coding RNA. RefSeq lists it as uncharacterized. The record is from RefSeq and is a predicted model, not a curated record. Lineage: Eukaryota; Metazoa; Chordata; Mammalia; Rodentia; Muridae. The transcript has 3 exons.